RNAcentral lists this ribosomal RNA (367 nucleotides) under uncultured bacterium. Its description in RNAcentral is "bacterial SSU rRNA". It matches the Rfam family "Bacterial small subunit ribosomal RNA", at positions 524 to 898 of the family's 1533-position model. The record is from RNAcentral.
UACGGAGGGUGCAAGCGUUAAUCGGAAUUACUGGGCGUAAAGCGCACGCAGGCGGUCUGUCAAGUCGGAUGUGAAAUCCCCGGGCUCAACCUGGGAACUGCAUUCGAAACUGGCAGGCUAGAGUCUUGUAGAGGGGGGUAGAAUUCCAGGUGUAGCGGUGAAAUGCGUAGAGAUCUGGAGGAAUACCGGUGGCGAAGGCGGCCCCCUGGACAAAGACUGACGCUCAGGUGCGAAAGCGUGGGGAGCAAACAGGAUUAGAUACCCUGGUAGUCCACGCCGUAAACGAUGUCGAUUUGGAGGUUGUGCCCUUGAGGCGUGGCUUCCGGAGUUAAAUCGACCGCCUGGGGAGUACGGCCGCAAGGUUAAA